This 18-nucleotide unclassified non-coding RNA is filed under the name Chlamydomonas reinhardtii. RNAcentral's name for it is "small RNA Cre_1697". Lineage: Eukaryota; Viridiplantae; Chlorophyta; Chlorophyceae; Chlamydomonadales; Chlamydomonadaceae. The record is from RNAcentral.
GCCCGCUUAGCUCAGUGG